Molecule: long non-coding RNA, 1183 nt
Filed under: Oncorhynchus kisutch (coho salmon)
Lineage: Eukaryota; Metazoa; Chordata; Actinopteri; Salmoniformes; Salmonidae
Description: lncRNA (ENSOKIG00005048950.1)
Source: RNAcentral
CAUCUUAAAUAAACAUGCCCCAUUCAAGAAAUGUAGAACCAGGAACAGAUAUAGCCCUUGGUUCUCCCCAGACCUGACUGCCCUUAACCAACACAAAAACAUCCUAUGGCGUUCUGCAUUAGCAUCGAACAGCCCCUGUGAUAUGCAGCUGUUCAGGGAAGCUAGAAACCAUUAUACACAGGCAGUUAGAAAAGCCAAGGCUAGCUUUUUCAAGCAGAAAUUUGCUUCCUGCAACACUAACUCAAAAAAGUUCUGGGACACUGUAAAGUCCAUGGAGAAUAAGAACACCUCCUCCCAGCUGCCCACUGCACUGAAGAUAGGAAACACUGUCACCACUGAUAAAUCCACCAUAAUUGAGAAUUUCAAUAAGCAUUUUUCUACGGCUGGCCAUGCUUUCCACCUGGCUACUCCUACCCCGGUCAACAGCACUGCACCUCCCACAGCAACUCGCCCAAGCCUUCCCCAUUUCUCCUUCUCCCAAAUCCAUUCAGCUGAUGUUCUGAAAGAGCUGCAAAAUCUGGCCCCCUACAAAUCAGCCGGGCUAGACAAUCUGGACCCUUUCUUUCUAAAAUUAUCUGCCGAAAUUGUUGCCACCCCUAUUACUAGCCUGUUCAACCUCUCUUUCGUGUCGUCUGAGAUUCCCAAAGAUUGGAAAGCAGCUGCGGUCAUCCCCCGCUUCAAAGGGGAGGACACUCUUGACCCAAACUGCUACAGACCUAUAUCUAUCCUACCAUGCCUUUCUAAGGUCUUCGAAGUCAACAAACAGAUUACCGACCAUUUCGAAUCUCACCAUACCUUCUCUGCUAUGCAAUCUGGUUUCAGAGCUGGUCAUGGGUGCACCUCAGCCACGCUCAAGGUCCUAAACGAUAUCUUAACCGCCAUCGAUAAGAAACAUUACUGUGCAGCCGUAUUCAUUGAUCUGGCCAAGGCUUUCGACACUGUCAAUCACCACAUCCUCAUCGGCAGACUCGACAGCCUUCGUUUCUCAAAUGAUUGCCUCGCCUGGUUCACCAACUACUUCUCUGAUAGAGUUCAGUGUGUCAAAUCGGAGGGUCUGCUGUCCGGACCUCUGGCAGUCUCUAUGGGGGUGCCACAGGGUUCAAUUCUUGGACCGACUCUCUUCUCUGUAUACAUCAAUAAGGUCGCUCUUGCUGCUGGUGAGUCUCUGAUCCACCUCUACGCA